AUGUCCACAGCAAGCCUAAACAGAUGGUGGAGCGGCUCCAUUACAAGGAUGAAGAGCAUGGGGGACAAAGGCCCACCUUGCCGUAGUCCUUUGCAGUUGAAUAUCGGAGCUCCGGGAACGCCAUUAACCAUGAUGCGGGUAGAAGAGGUGACAAGCAGGCCCGCAAUCCACUCCAGCCAUCUACUGCCAAAGCCCAAAGCACGGAGGACUUCGAACAAAAAAGGCCACUGCACCGUGUCGAAUGCUUUAGAAAUAUCCAGCUUAAGCAUGAUUGCAGGUUGCCGUAGCGCGUGCAGCUGUCUCGCAGUGCUCUGGACCAACAUGAAGUAUGUUAUAAUCAGAUUCAAUUUGAGCCCAAUCGAUCAUUAG
Molecule: ribosomal RNA, 369 nt
Filed under: Triticum aestivum (bread wheat)
Lineage: Eukaryota; Viridiplantae; Streptophyta; Magnoliopsida; Poales; Poaceae
Description: partial small subunit ribosomal RNA
Source: RNAcentral